CUCUCGUCCUCUCGUCCUCUCGUCCUCUCGUUCCAAAAACCAGCGAUCUCUCGUUCUCCAGGUUUCUCCAGGUUCCUUUGUUAUUCUCGUCAUAUCUUCUCUAUUUCAAGUUCCUGCCUUUGCAAUUAAAAAGCCCACGGAGUUUUCAAUCCCUGUGCUCCUUUAUUGCCCGUCAUUGCAACUCCUUUGAGAUCUCUCUCGCUGAGCGGUUCGUGUCCAAUCCAACCAAUCGUGCGCGCUCUCACUCCCUCUCAGACCUGUCAAUAUUGUACCAUCAGUAAUUGGUAUCGAUGGCAAAGAAGGGGGCAUCUUCGUCAAAUCCUGUAGCUACAUGGAAUGCCCACAAUAUAUCUAUAUUUUGUGAUGUUUGCAUCAAGGAGGUUGAGGCCGGACAUCGUCCGGGCACUCACU
Molecule: long non-coding RNA, 411 nt
Organism: Malus domestica (apple)
Lineage: Eukaryota; Viridiplantae; Streptophyta; Magnoliopsida; Rosales; Rosaceae
Source: RefSeq, a predicted model, not a curated record